GUUGUGAGGUUAAGCGACUAAGCGUACACGGUGGAUGCCCUGGCAGUCAGAGGCGAUGAAGGGCGUGCUAAUCUGCGAUAAGCGCCGGUAAGGUGAUAUGAACCGUUAUAACCGGCGAUACCCGAAUGGGGAAACCCAGUGUGAUUCGUCACACUAUCAUUAACUGAAUCCAUAGGUUAAUGAGGCGAACCGGGGGAACUGAAACAUCUAAGUACCCCGAGGAAAAGAAAUCAACCGAGAUUCCCCCAGUAGCGGCGAGCGAACGGGGAGGAGCCCAGAGCCUGAAUCAGCAUGUGUGUUAGUGGAAGCGUCUGGAAAGGCGCGCGAUACAGGGUGACAGCCCCGUACACAAAAGCGCAUGUGCUGUGAGCUCGAUGAGUAGGGCGGGACACGUGGUAUCCUGUCUGAAUAUGGGGGGACCAUCCUCCAAGGCUAAAUACUCCUGACUGACCGAUAGUGAACCAGUACCGUGAGGGAAAGGCGAAAAGAACCCCGGCGAGGGGAGUGAAAAAGAACCUGAAACCGUGUACGUACAAGCAGUGGGAGCACCCUUUGGGUGUGACUGCGUACCUUUUGU
Molecule: ribosomal RNA, 577 nt
Filed under: Salmonella enterica subsp. enterica serovar Enteritidis
Lineage: Bacteria; Pseudomonadati; Pseudomonadota; Gammaproteobacteria; Enterobacterales; Enterobacteriaceae
Description: partial 23S ribosomal RNA
Rfam family: Bacterial large subunit ribosomal RNA
Source: RNAcentral